UUUUCCCAUACAAUUUCCUUUUUUUGCCAUUACAUAUAUUAUACCUGUAUAAUGCUUUUUGGGGUCAAUUCUCGAAACCAAACUAUAGGCUAUAUAUAACUAAGGAGAGGAUUUAUGCUAGCAAGAAUGACAAGGACAGUUGAUAGGAAAAGGUUCUUGAACAAUCACAAAGCAAAACACAACGAAGCUGAAGUCGGUGGUUGUUCAUGAUCACUUCUCUUGUGUAUAUUGCAUCCUCAAGGUGUUGUAUUGGUAUCUCACAUUGGUAAAGUUGUUGCAUAUUCUAGAAAUAAAAGGUAAUACUCUAAUAUUUCACAUCAGCGUCUGAAGAUUUAGUAGUGUUGACUUGUCAGAUAUGUUUUGGGACUAUAUAUGAUCAUCAAGAACAAAUCCGUAAGGAUGGUAAAGUCCAAAACAAAUAAUAUCUGACAGGUUGGGCCGAGCUGUGAUAAAUAAUUUUUUUUUUCUUUCAUUAAUUUGUUAGAGGUUGUCUUGAUUGUUUCUUUCUCAUGGUAACUAGACGAUAUCAACAAAGAAUUUGAUUUCAGUUUAUCUUUUCAAUAUGAUCCUUUUAGCCAUAUAUAUAAAUUGUUAUAGUAUGGUCCCUUUUAUCAUUAAUGAAAGCAGUAAACACAUUUUACUGUUUUUGAAUUAGCAUGUCUGAUGCUUUGAUAUCUAUUAUAUGUUUUCCCAUCCUCAACUUCAUAAUAUGCUUUUUCUAUUUUGAACCAGCAGGUAUUACAAGCUAGAGAGCCAAUCUAUGAUUAGAAGUUUUCAUAUAAGAGCUUCAAGCUGGAGCAAACUGGACCAGGUAAGUUGCCGCUCUUUUCCUGCAUAUCAUUCGUUCUAGCCAUGAAGUUUCUCAAAUAUAUUACUUCCAGCCAUGAAAUUGCUGAAAUAGGUUGUGGGGGUUAGUGUUAAAACUGAUAUAAGAGCUGGAUUCAAGCUGCGUUAUGUAAUUCUAACAAUUCUUCUUAUUUGUUUCAAACACGAUUACUGUCAAUGGAGAAUUUGGGACAGAAUAUACACUGCAUAUCAUUUUUUUCAGGAAGUCGGAAUGGUCGGAAAGCUAUGCUUUCUCUUCCCCUAUGCCUAUAUCAAAUCUAUCCUCUUUUUUUUUAAUUGAAAGAUUAUUCUGCUUGACUUGGUGCCUUUUGACUUCGGUUGUGUCCUAUUUUUCAUCUCACAUGCUGCUGGUGCUUGUUGACAGUGUUUUUUCCUGAAAAGUUUGGUUGUAGACCUCCUCAAGAGAAAUAAAUAAUUCAAUGAUUUGAUUAAAAAAAAAAAAUAUCAGCUACUUAAGAUGAACCACCACUAGCAGCAGGUGACAAUUUGAGAAUCUAAUUGAAUUGUGUGUUCUGACAAUGAUCCGAGAGUGGAUACCAAGCAAGGUCAUCAUGUCACUAGCUAGGCUAGCGCAUGCCAUGAAAGAGAGUUAGAGAUGAGAUCUCAAACCAAUCCAGUAAGGCAGAUGAGACAAGGUAGCUGAUCCAACAGAAUAGGUAGACAACUCUCACUCCCAAUCAUGGAAGAGAGAGUCAUCCUACUCGUCAUCUUUCUUUUAUGGGAGCUUGGUCUGUCUAAGAAACAAGCUAGACAAGAACCUCCAUGGCCUGGUAUGUCCUGGAUUCCAGAAUCCUAGCACCAAGAAGCUUCCAUCUGCCAAGACUCACUGCACAUAACUUGUUAACAUGCCUCACCUACUUACAGCCUUCCUUCACUUGCUUCUAAAUUCCUGGAUUGAGAGUUAGCAAUCUACCUAUCCAAUUGAGAGUGCAUGUUGGGUGACAAAAGGAGACAAAGGCAGAUUCUUAACACAUGUUUGUUACGCCCUGAAAAUGAUAACAUUAUUCAACCUAAACAAAUAUGUUUUAAUUAGAUUCAAUUUGUGAGGAACAUGAAAACAAACAAACACGUUUUGAUGCUCGCAACAAGAGGUAAACAUUACUUAUCUCGACUACAAAAAAUACAGAAACUCGAUCCUUGUAUCAAAAGUGCCAUCCCGCUGUGUAACUCGGCAACAACACUAGUAUCUAUCUAAUGUUAUUG
RNAcentral lists this long non-coding RNA (2049 nucleotides) under Populus trichocarpa (black cottonwood). Its description in RNAcentral is "long non-coding RNA (PTRI_LNC001145)". The record is from RNAcentral. Lineage: Eukaryota; Viridiplantae; Streptophyta; Magnoliopsida; Malpighiales; Salicaceae.